RNAcentral lists this long non-coding RNA (895 nucleotides) under Rattus norvegicus (Norway rat). RNAcentral's name for it is "long non-coding RNA NONRATT023685". Lineage: Eukaryota; Metazoa; Chordata; Mammalia; Rodentia; Muridae. The record is from RNAcentral.
GGUCCAGCAAGAGGGGUGGUGAGGCCUCUGUCAACCCCUACAGCCAUAAAAGUAUUAUCACCAACUGCUGUGCUGUGCUCUGUGGCCCACUGCCUCCCAGCCUGAUCGACCGGAGGGGAUUUGUGCAGUCUGAUACUGUGCUGCCCUCGCCCAUCAGAAGUGAUGAGCCAGCCUGUGGAGCCAAGCCAGACGCCAGCAUGUAUGUGCGGGGGCUUAAGGAGCUCCUGAGGACCGCCACUCUCUGCCCCUUCAGGAGUGGCCUGGGGGGAGCCAGGCACCCAGCACCUCCACCUGCCUAACUUGUGGCCCAUCUGCCACCAUCUGUGCCUACAGGGUCCGUCCCCCAGCCUGUCCUACUUAUGUGCUCUUAGAGCCUCCCCACCAACCGUGGGCAGGCGCUGGGCUCUAGUCCCCGACCCCAACUCCUUGCUGGCCAGAAUGUAGAAAGCCAUACACUGUAACACUGCUGCACCUCGCCCUCCCCUCCUGCCCUCAUGCCCCUUCCCCAGAUUUGUGAACUGUGAGACUCUUUAGGAAUCUUGCCUUGCAGCCUCCCCCCAGUCAGCAGAGCCAUAGGCCAGCCUAGCAGGUUCCUUCAGGAGCUAUCUGGGUGUUGAUGACGCUGCUGAACAAGUUUGGCAACUGCUCUAAGCACAAUGGGCUUGACACUGUUCCCACGCCCCCAUCCCCCCCAGUAGGAUGUGGAGUGUGAGCCUGUAUCCUUGGCCCCAGGCACCAAGGGCUAGACAGCUCCCGCGUUCUUCCGAGGACCCAUAGGGAGCCGGGUCAGACCGGGGAGAGCAGCUUCAUCCAGCCCAGGGGCUGCUCACCUGCUGUCCACUACCUUUUGUAAGAGAAAUAAAGACCUCCCCCCUUCUUCUUGCCUUCUCGCCGU